UGCGUAGGCGGAAUAUUAAGUCGGUGGUGAAAUCCCAGAGCUCAACUCUGGAACUGCCAUUGAAACUGGUAUUCUUGAAUAUAGUUGAGGUAGGCGGAAUGUGUAAUGUAGCGGUGAAAUGCUUAGAUAUUACACAGAACACCGAUUGCGAAGGCAGCUUACUAAACUAUGAUUGACGCUGAUGCACGAAAGCGUGGGGAGCGAACAGGAUUAGAUACCCUGGUAGUCC
This 229-nucleotide ribosomal RNA is filed under the name uncultured bacterium. Its description in RNAcentral is "partial 16S ribosomal RNA". It matches the Rfam family "Bacterial small subunit ribosomal RNA", at positions 568 to 796 of the family's 1533-position model. The record is from RNAcentral.